GGGACUAUAGUCUAGUGGUUAGCACGCUUGGCUGCACUGACAAAGAGGUGUAGGACCUGGGUUCGAAUCCCAGGUGUAACA
This is a non-coding RNA of Melampsora americana, 81 nucleotides long. The record is from the annotation of a GenBank genome assembly. NCBI's taxonomy places the organism in Eukaryota, Fungi, Basidiomycota, Pucciniomycetes, Pucciniales, Melampsoraceae.